Molecule: long non-coding RNA, 535 nt
Organism: Solanum pennellii
Lineage: Eukaryota; Viridiplantae; Streptophyta; Magnoliopsida; Solanales; Solanaceae
Exons: 3
Source: RefSeq, a predicted model, not a curated record
CAUUAACAAAAACUUCUCUAUUUCUAUUUUUCCUAGAUACGAUUUACUCUGUCUGUAGAACAAGUUAUUCUCCAGAACUAAAGAUCGAAGAGAAGAAGCUAAGGAACGUAGCUGAGCUGAAGAACUGAUCAAGAUUUGAGCUGAAGAUUCUCUUCUCCAGAAUAUAAUUUUUCUUGAAGGGCUGAAAAUCUGAAGCUAAAGAACUAAGGAUCAAAGAAUUGAGGAUCGAAGAAUUGAAGAUCAAUGAAAUGAAGAGCUGAGGGUUAAGAACUAAAAGCUUGGCAGAAGAUUUCUCCGAUACCGAUUUCAUCAAGUGCAGAAGUUAUUGAUUACUUUGGGGUUCUUAUAGCUAAAAUUCCAAAGUAGAGGAAGAAUGUGCUGAAAAAUUUGAACCGUCAAAGUUAGCCCUAGUAAUCUUGAGCAGACGAGGAAGAGGGCAGUACUACUGGAAGCAUUUGAUUCUUUUGUAUUUGAGGAAAGCAAGACGCUCUUUGUUGAAGCACUGGCGUAAAAUGAAGCUCAUGAGGUAGAAGAA